UCCGUUGUAGUCUAGCUGGUUAGGAUACUUGGCUCUCACCGGAGAGACCCAGGUUCGAGUCCCCGGCAACGGAA
This 74-nucleotide transfer RNA is filed under the name Setaria italica (foxtail millet). It matches the Rfam family "tRNA". From Rfam's summary of the family: Transfer RNA (tRNA) molecules are approximately 80 nucleotides in length. Lineage: Eukaryota; Viridiplantae; Streptophyta; Magnoliopsida; Poales; Poaceae. The record is from Rfam by way of RNAcentral.